Molecule: unclassified non-coding RNA, 329 nt
Filed under: soil metagenome
Description: partial contains 5.8S ribosomal RNA, internal transcribed spacer 2, and large subunit ribosomal RNA
Rfam family: 5.8S ribosomal RNA (bases 1-120)
Source: RNAcentral
GAUGAAGAACGUAGCGAAAUGCGAUAAGUAGUGUGAAUUGCAGAAUUCAGUGAAUCAUCGAAUCUUUGAACGCACAUUGCGCCCCUUGGUAUCCCGGGGGGCAUGCCUGUUCGAGCGUCAUUUCACCACUCAAGCCUGGCUUGGUGUUGGGCGACGUCCCCUUUGGGGACGCGCCUCGAAACGCUCGGCGGCGUGGCACCGGCUUUAAGCGUAGCAGAAUCUUUCGCUUUGGAAGUCGGGGCCCCGUCUGCCGGAAGACCUACUCGCAAGGUUGACCUCGGAUCAGGCAGGGAUACCCGCUGAACUUAAGCAUAUCAAUAAGCGGAGGA